RNAcentral lists this long non-coding RNA (721 nucleotides) under Equus caballus (horse). RNAcentral describes it as "lncRNA (ENSECAG00000053079.1)". Lineage: Eukaryota; Metazoa; Chordata; Mammalia; Perissodactyla; Equidae. The record is from RNAcentral.
AAAACAAAUAGAGAGGAGGAAUUCCAAGAUGGCGCCGUGAGUAGUCCUCUUUGUCUCUCGCCCUUCGAGUCUACAAUUAUUUGGACACUUAUCGCUUGACAAAGGAUAUCCAGACAGCAUCUCAGGACGUCUGAGACACCCACGCGACUAUACAUCGGAAGGCGGACGGACUUUCCUCCGGGAGGAUGUGGAAAUAGGUGAAAACUCUCCGACCCCGACGGGCAGCCUAGUACCCGCAAGUGGCUUUCUUCCAACGGACGCCCCCAGAGGAUCCACACACAUCUAGGGCAGGAGCGAGAACACAACAGAGGAACGACGGUGGAAACAGGUGACCAGAACCCUACUUAAACCCCCCGCAAUUACUCCUAAACGCAGAGGGAAACUUUGGAGUUGCACACCUGAGCCCGCGGGGAGAGUCUCUCCCCGCCAUUGGCGGGGAGACCCGGCCUGGUGCUCGGGGCACCCGGAGGGUCCCAGAGAGAGACACGGAGGGCACGGAGGUCUCCCAGCUGCCGUUGCCCGCCCCGUGGGACUAGGGAUUGCCGGAGAUCUCGGAGAGGACCGGGGCGGGGGAACUUUCAAAGGCCGGAUCGGCGACCCGGAGGGGAAGUGCCGGAGCUCCGCCCGGGCAGCAGACAAAACUCUCUGUCUGCCGGUAGCAGAGGGGCCACGCUGAGCAUUCAGAGCUCCCGGCAGAGGCCCGGAGAGAAGCCCAGAGGGC